CACAGCCAGAGCUUAACGCAGUCUCCACUGCUUAGGAACUUGCCUCAUCUGAGCGAGCCCGCCGACACGCCGAGCAGGAGAGAGAUGAACUGGCGGACGAGAUUGCCAACAGCGCCUCUGGCAAGUCCGCGCUGCUGGAUGAGAAGCGGCGUCUGGAAGCUCGGAUCGCACAGCUGGAGGAGGAGCUGGAAGAGGAGCAGAGCAACAUGGAGCUGCUCAACGACCGCUUCCGCAAGACCACUCUACAGGUGGACACACUGAACGCCGAGCUAGCAGCCGAGCGCAGCGCUGCCCAGAAGAGUGACAACGCGCGCCAGCAACUGGAGCGGCAGAACAAGGAGCUGAAGGCCAAGCUGCAGGAGCUCGAGGGUGCUGUCAAGUCCAAGUUCAAGGCCACCAUCUCAGCCCUGGAGGCCAAGAUUGGGCAGCUGGAGGAGCAGCUUGAGCAGGAAGCCAAGGAACGAGCAGCCGCCAACAAAUUAGUCCGUCGCACUGAGAAGAAGCUGAAAGAAAUCUUCAUGCAGGUCGAGGAUGAGCGUCGACACGCGGAUCAGUAUAAAGAGCAGGUACGCGAGGAAAUGCCUCCCUGGGA
RNAcentral lists this small RNA (592 nucleotides) under Pongo abelii (Sumatran orangutan). RNAcentral describes it as "retained intron". Lineage: Eukaryota; Metazoa; Chordata; Mammalia; Primates; Hominidae. The record is from RNAcentral.